This 24-nucleotide non-coding RNA is filed under the name Cricetulus griseus (Chinese hamster). The record is from RNAcentral. Lineage: Eukaryota; Metazoa; Chordata; Mammalia; Rodentia; Cricetidae.
UCGUGUGUAGCUGUUUGAGGACUA